RNAcentral lists this transfer RNA (66 nucleotides) under Blepharipoda liberata. Its description in RNAcentral is "tRNA-Ser". Lineage: Eukaryota; Metazoa; Arthropoda; Malacostraca; Decapoda; Blepharipodidae. The record is from RNAcentral.
GAGGUUCAUGAAAGGAAAAAAGCUUCUAACUUCUAUUCCAAGCGGUUAAAUUCCGUUUAAACCUCU